CAGGCAAAAGUUUUUUUCUGCUUUCACCACACCAGUGUAAUUUCUAUAUGCUCAAUAUGAAGCCACAGCCAUCACACAAUUACUUUAUCUUAUCUUAAGGACUGGAAACAAGGGGAAACGCAUAGCCUAGCUCUGUCCAAAGUGAAAAAAAUAGCCUACCUUUCUUAUGUCUUGUUCCAUUGAAAAAAGAGAGAGAGAAAUGUAAAAUUACAUGCUUCAAGAAAUAAGUGAGCUCCAGAAUGUAACUCCCAGUAAAGGGGCAUUAUUCCAUUUACAGAGCCUGAGCUGAGCUGGAUUGUUUUGGGGCGCACACACAGGACGGACACCUAGUGGACCGUGAGGAAAUAUUCACAUAUUUACAAAACGUUGCUUUAAAAUCGCUUACUGCCCCUUACUGCCCCUACCCAAAAACCUAAGUUUGGUUCUUAAUGCUGGAUUAAAUUUGAAUAAUUCAGAUGUUUCUUCAGACACAAGGGUGCAGAUGAAUGCUUAGAUAAUGCAAAUGCUGACCCGAGUACCUCCUAGCAACUUGAUGUACUUUUUGCUUUCUCAGAACUGCUGUACUUUCUGCUGACUGAAGACUCGCACCGCCUCCAUUACUGCGCGCCACCACCAUAAAGGGGAGUGCCGGCAGUGCAGAGGAAGAAAAGAGGGAGAUUGACAUAAAGAUGACUACUUCUUCUGUAAAGUUCCCCCCGGAGAGCAUCAGGGAACACUCCACCGAGGGAAUUUCAUCCUCCACGGCUCUGCGCGGAAGGAUAGCAGUGGAAGACAUUUUUGCUGCAGCCUCUUAGCCUCCCCACUGCUCUUUCAUCCAUUUUUGUCUGCAGCAAAUGUCUCCCAUUUCUGUAUGACUUUGAGUGUUUUGUAAGACUGAUUGGGCAUUUUUAUUGUGCGCCCUCCUUCCUGUCGGUCUGCCUUCAUACUGUGCUCCUCCCUAAAGUCUCUAACAAUGUGUAACGUGCGUUUCCACUGUCUUGCAGCAGCAGUUCCCAGUCUUUACCUGAUCAGGAAGAAUGUUUUUCAGUCUAAUUAUCUGCGCCAUUAGGCGCACAUGAGGUCCUGCGGUUCAUUGUUACACAUUACGCAG
RNAcentral lists this long non-coding RNA (1090 nucleotides) under Scophthalmus maximus (turbot). RNAcentral's name for it is "lncRNA (ENSSMAG00000026079.1)". The record is from RNAcentral. Lineage: Eukaryota; Metazoa; Chordata; Actinopteri; Pleuronectiformes; Scophthalmidae.